Long non-coding RNA from Pecten maximus, 3845 nucleotides. RefSeq lists it as uncharacterized. Lineage: Eukaryota; Metazoa; Mollusca; Bivalvia; Pectinida; Pectinidae. The transcript is spliced from 2 exons. The record is from RefSeq and is a predicted model, not a curated record.
GUACUGACCGUAGGUCGGUGGUUCUUCUCCGGGUACUCUGGCUUUCCUCUACCUCCAAAACCUGGCACGUCCUUUAAUGACCCUGGCUGUUAAUAGGAUGAAAAACCAAACUAAACUGACAGUAGUUGAUUAAGUUCAUUGGAUUUCAUCGGUAUCCGGAGCUUAUAAAUAAAUCCAAUAUGACAUAGUCACGAGUGUAAGGUUUUCUAUUAAUAGCAUAUUUUUAAGAAUGUAAGUUAUGACUCGAAUUAAUUUCUAUACAGGAGACGAAAUUCGACACAGGCGACUGUUAUGUGAUAAAACUUGUUGAUACAGUACCUUUUAAAAUUUGACUCGUGACCUUAAAUAUGGGUCAAUUUAGUUUUUCCGCAAAUAUUGUUGGAUGUCACCCAAGGACAUACCAAAAAUACAUCUCUAUUCUGUGUGGUUUGAUUAACCAGAAGAAAGUGUUUGAGGGUGAACUUUGUAGGGCUGCCAUCCAUCCCAGGAAACCAGGCCAAAUAUCUCGAUUCAAGGACUUGUUAAUCAGAAGUAAUUGAUUGAAGGUUGCAACAAUUUGAAUACUGUGACAUUGAAUAAGGGUCAAGAUUAAUUCUUUUGGCAAACAUCCUAGAAUGUCGUCUAAGAAACCUACAAGCAAAAUGACUCAAUGAUAUGCCUUGUGGUUAACCAGAAGUCGUUAAAAUUGAGGGAAAAUAUUUAAGCUUUUAUGAAGAAGUCAUUUAAAGGACAGUGUUGAUGCAAAAAUGAGUAGGAUGCCGGACAUCCUACCAACCACAAUCUAAUUAAAAUGUAUUCUUAUCAGAUUAAGUAAUGAAACAUGUAGCCUGUUGAAUCCAUGUUUACUUUCCCCUCAAUUAGCCUGUACCACUCACUUUUCAUUAAUCAAAUUUUCAUGAACUUAUAAUAGUUGAACCAUGUAACCUUGAAAGAUAAUUAAGGCCUUCGAACCAAUUCAACAAACUUGUUGUUUUGAACCAUGUGACCUUGAAAAUGUAUCAAGGUUAUCAAUUCUAGCAUGUUACUUGAUUUUAGACCCUGAAGAAGUUGUAAGGAAAAAGGUUAACGCUGGGAAAACAACAGACUAUGCUCCAUGAUACAAGUUCACUUGCCCUAUAAACAGACAAAUGAAUCAAAAUGUCGAGGCCACUCAUAGGUGCUGUGCUCGAGGGAUUGAAAUACAGGAGAAAGGCAAACAUUAUAUAAAUAAAAAUGACAGCAAAAAAGACAUUUUUCUUGUCAUUUUAGUGCAUUCCUGAAUGUUUUACUGAUGAUUAUCCUGUCAUUUUAAGGAAUUGUUGUCAUAAAUGGUGACGAAUUACGGAUUUAAACCUCACUUGAAUUGGCAAACUAUGAUAAAUAAUAAGCUUAAUUCUUAGAUCGAUUGAUCCGUGAUGUCCGUCAUAUUCUUGAUAAACCACAUCGCAACAAUAUACAUGUACAAGAUUCUUGUGAACUACUCUGCCAGUUUAUUUUGGUUCCUAAGUUUUUAAAUUGUACUCAUUCCAAUGGGUUUUUUUUCUCUCCGUGUAAUAACUGUUUAGUAUCCUGAUUACAGAUAUGAUAACUUUAAUUUCGUUAGAAUAAACUCGUCUCGGAAAUUUCAUUUGUUGAAUUAGCCUAUACAGUGCCUAAUCAGUUCCGGUAACUUGAUGAAUUGCACGUUCAUGCAUGUUAUAUAUUUUGUCUAAGCAUGGAACACUUUGACCGAGUUCAAACAUGCAACCACUUAAUUGCUAUCGGAAUCUCUGUUGCAUUUUGUGUGGUCCAUUUCUCGGAAAUGACGAACCAAUCGGAAGUAUUUUUAGUAUGGAAUGUAAAAACAAUCGGAGAUUUCACUUAUCGAUUUCCAAUUGGAAAAUACGAGACUUUAUCGUAAUAGUCCAAUAGUAUUCGACGGGCGAGGGCCAGUUUUAUCAACCCAGAUCUAGAGCUCGAGGUGGCUUUCCAAUCCAUCAGCUAGAGUGGACAUGUAUACGAGUUACCUCCCCUCGCACAAUCCAGGAAGCAAGCACAAUUACUCCGGGAUAAAACAUGUAAUUGUGUACAAUUUAAUUUUUUUUCUAUAUUUUAUUAACCUUAAACAAAUGUCUUCAAACAUAUAAAAGAAUUAAACAUAAUAAUGACUUAAUCACAAACAAAUACUUCGUGGAAGGAGAAAAGAUUCUCUAGUGUGCCGUUAGCAUUUUUUGGGAAGAAUUAUUUCCAGUCCAUCCUGAACUCAUCAGGAUUAAUCAUAAAAAUGAUGGGUAAGCAACAUUUUGGACCUGUUCGUUUAUGCGGAUAAACCUGUUCGUCAGUUUUUAAAUGUAAUAUUUCAAACGUAUAUAUCUUCACGGACCUGCAAAUGUUAAUACAGGCCUUGGAAGUCUUUGUCAAGGCUCGUCUAAAAACAAUAUAAAAUCACCAGGUCUGUCUUUAUUUCAUAAACGAACAACACCAGUCCAACUGUAUGGACCGAAAAAUGCCUUUGAUUCCUCCCCGAGAGUUUUGAACGAAUUUGUUCUAGCGAAAUUUGGCGAUGAUCGCUUAAGAUUGCUGUUUCACAGCACGUCAAAGUGGACAGGCUGAUGGAAAAUCUGAAUACUAUAUACUUCAGCUAGCUUAAGUUAUCUGACUAUGUUUUGGUUCUGAUGCUAACCAACGGCGCCUGUCAUCAUGUUUCUCGCGGUGUUAUCCUCUAACAUUGUUGGAGUAAAUACUAGACUGUACAAAGCUCCCUAACAUGCUUUCCUAUUCGGAAACAAAAACAAACACAUUAGCACAUUUAUAUCAUUUACUCCAACACAUGGUAUACAUCUGUCAACACAAUCUAGUUUCUCACCACUGUACAAGUAGACACUUGUACACUUGCAUUUUGCAAUACAGAUGUAAAUUCUGUUGCAAAAAUGAUUCCACAGUAUUAGGGUGUCUUUAACACCUUCAACAAAAAAUUUUGAAUUAUGUUACCUCGAUUAUUCUUGUGGUAAACUAUCUAUUUCUACAGUGACUGAUAAACUUAGUAUAACUGACCGACGUAUCCAUGGUACCCAUUUACACAUAAUUUCCUUACAGUCACAGCUUUCACACUCUCAGUAAAACAAGAAAACUACAGCAACAGAAGGGUUUAUACACAAGGGAUUAUAUGCUGCACAAGAAACCAGCAAGUACAGUUACGAGCUUUGAUUUUACUGUUAUCAGAGAAGAUCAGGAGCAGUAAGAACACAUUUGAAAAACAGAAAGAAAGGAUUUGAAACAAUUCAUAACAUGACAUUCAAUUAAUUUGGAAAUUUAGGCCAUAAAGAUUACAUCUGCUAAUAAAAGUGUUUUGAUUUGGAAUAAAAUGAAAUCCCAUCAAGAACUUGACCAGAAAAGCACUGAAUGACUAAUUCAAUACGAAAUCAAGUUAUUACACUUUCAUAAAUAAAUCACUUCCAUAACAUUAAGUGAUAAAGUACCAGGAUACAGAGAAUUAUCUAUAAAUCAGUCAUAAACAUAUUGUCUUACUAUCUAGCGCCUUUUGCUAUAUAAACCAAGGCAAAUUGUGAUGGUCCCUUUUGUGUAUAUGAAGAAAAGUGAAAAGAAAUAAUGCUGAUAAAAUUCUAAAAACAUACUUAACACUCAGCAUUGAAUUAUAUUUAUAUUAUAAGGAAUUUAUACAUGAUUCAAAGAAUUGAAAAGCAAGAACAAAUACAUCAUUAUAUAUAAUAGAAUAUCUACAGUACAUUACAGUAGUUAUUUAUCACAGUUUGACAAAUAUUGUUCGACCCACAAUAUUGGUCCAACACAUUAUCUUCUCUUGCCAGCUAUAGUUUCUCAACUCUAUCACUUUAUAUAAUCAAAAAUCAUAUUGACAAAAAUUCUUA